Molecule: transfer RNA, 75 nt
Filed under: Marmota monax (woodchuck)
Lineage: Eukaryota; Metazoa; Chordata; Mammalia; Rodentia; Sciuridae
Description: tRNA.Val
Source: RNAcentral
GGGGACAUAGCUCAGUUGGUAGAGUGUGCUUGCCUCACGUGCACAAGGCCCUGGGUUGUUCAAUUCCCAGCACCA